Salvelinus fontinalis (brook trout) is the source of this 227-nucleotide long non-coding RNA. RefSeq lists it as uncharacterized. The record is from RefSeq and is a predicted model, not a curated record. NCBI's taxonomy places the organism in Eukaryota, Metazoa, Chordata, Actinopteri, Salmoniformes, Salmonidae. The transcript is spliced from 3 exons.
GGAGUGACCAUGCAGGUACUAGGGAUGGAGGAGUGACCAUGUAGGUACUAGGGAUAGAGGAGUGACCAUGUAGGUACUAGGGAUAGAGGAGUGACCAUGUAGGUACUAGGGAUGGAGGAGAGACCAUGUAGGUACUAGGGAUGGAGGAGUGACCAUGUAGGUACUAGGGAUAGAGGAGUGACCAUGCAGGUACUAGGGAUAGAGGAGAGACCAUGCAGGUACUAGGG